GUUCCGUUCUCCAUGGGACGUCGACUUUAAGCACUCGACGUGGAAAAGUGCAAAUGGCGAUCAGUGAAAUAUCUCUCUCGUUCGCUCAUUCGCAAAUUAUUUACUGUGUUAGUGCAUAUGUACAUGUAGCUUGUGCUUAUACAGCUCAAUACGGUUAAUGUAAAGGCUGAGUACUGAAUUUUCACAAUGUCUUGUGGGUAUUCAAUUUGUCAGCAAUACUCAUGAAGAAGGUACAAUUGCAUUGAUUUAUCGAUCAUGGUUUACGCCUCUGAAAAGUCAAGUCUGGUGGCCUCCAUACAAGACUAGUGUUCAAUUUAAAAAAGCACUUGUUUACUGAAGAACAAGUAAACGAAAAUACAUGGGCAUUGUAUGAGGUGAAACGUAUAUUUUUUACUUGUGAUGAAUUUGAUAAGGCCUUUGAAAAACUAAAAGAAUGUGAAGAAGUGUCUGAUUUACAAUCUACUGAAGUAGAAGAUGACGUACAAAGUAAGAAAACGCAAACCAAAUUUAAAAUAUGUCAUAAGUAGUGAAGACGAAUACGAUGAAAACUGUGAUUCUCUACAGCCAUCAGCAAAACUUGAUAAAUCAGAGAUUGUGUAUUACAAGAAAUACCUACUAAUUCUUUUGCAAGUUACACAAAUAACGAUGCAUCUAUAAUUGCUCCAACUAUUAACACUAGAACAAAAGUUACUAAUUCUACGCUUAUAAAUAAAAAUGAAAAUUAUACGAAGCAGGUUGCAGAAAAAGGUAAGCGUCAUUGCUUAAUAUAUAUGUUGUUCGCACUUUGAGUGAAUUAAAA
This 799-nucleotide unclassified non-coding RNA is filed under the name Harpegnathos saltator (Jerdon's jumping ant). Its description in RNAcentral is "uncharacterized LOC112588969, transcript variant X1". Lineage: Eukaryota; Metazoa; Arthropoda; Insecta; Hymenoptera; Formicidae. The record is from RNAcentral.